RNAcentral lists this ribosomal RNA (253 nucleotides) under uncultured bacterium. RNAcentral describes it as "partial 16S ribosomal RNA". It matches the Rfam family "Bacterial small subunit ribosomal RNA", at positions 524 to 776 of the family's 1533-position model. The record is from RNAcentral.
UACGGAGGGUCCAAGCGUUAUCCGGAAUCAUUGGGUUUAAAGGGUGCGCAGGCGGAUAUGUAAGUCAGUGGUGAAAUCUCUAGGCUUAACCUGGAAAUUGCCGUUGAUACUAUAUAUCUUGAAUGCUGUGGAGGUAAGCGGAAUAUGUCAUGUAGCGGUGAAAUGCUUAGAUAUGACAUAGAACACCUAUUGCGAAGGCAGCUUACUACGCAGAUAUUGACGCUCAUGCACGAAAGCGUGGGGAUCAAACAGG